This 1704-nucleotide ribosomal RNA is filed under the name metagenome. Its description in RNAcentral is "bacterial LSU rRNA". It matches the Rfam family "Archaeal large subunit ribosomal RNA", at positions 1191 to 2887 of the family's 2987-position model. The record is from RNAcentral.
CUCAGAAGCAGCUAUCCUUUAAAAAGUGUGUAACAACUUACCUGCCGAGCGUGGGCGCCCCGAAAACGGACGGGGCUAAAGCAAAGUACCGAUACUUUAGAUACUUGUACAUUUACAAGUCAUGGUAGGUUGGCGUAGUGAUUGGGUCGAAGCAGGGCAGUGAUGUCCUGUGGACCGAUUUCUAUUGCAGAUCCUGGUGGCAGUAACAGCAUAGUAGUGUGAGAACCACUACCACCGCAAGCGCAAGGGUUUCCAGGCAAUGCGUUAUCAGCCUGGAGUUAGUCGAUCCUAAGAAUUACCUCAACAGAGUAAUUCGAAUGGGAAACUGGUUAAUAUUCCAGUACCUUGCUUACACGUUAUUAUCUAUAUGAAUUGCUUCUAGAUAGGGGAUGUAGAACUAUCGUUUUAUCUAACUGUUUGAGAUUCGGGGAGUGUCGUAAUGACGAGAACUGAAUCGAGGCAGGAAUGGCUCUGCGUUAGCAGAGUUUUCCCAACUCCAGGAGACCAUGAAAGAUCAUAUAGAAAGUGUUAGCAAGUUCGUACCGAGAACCGACACAGGUGCGCUGGCUUAGAAAGCUAAGGUGCUACGGGUAUACCGUAUGGCGAGGGAAUUCGGCAAAUUAGUCCUGUAGCUUAGGUAUAAGGGAUACCUGCUGUUUUAAUGAGGAAUUGGGACAGCAGGUUGCAAUGACUAGGGGGUUCCGACUGUUUAAUAAAAACACAGGCGACUGCUAGUCCGAAAGGAUUUGUAUAGUCGCUGAAUCCUGGCCGGUGCAGGUACCUAAAACUUGGGUUCAACCGAGCUAAGGGCCUGUUAACGCCGGGAGUAACUCUGACUCUCUUAAGGUAGCCAAAUGCCUUGUCGGGUAAGUUCCGACGCGCAUGAAUGGAACAACGAGAGCCCCACUGUCCCCGCCUACAACCCGGUGAAGCCACAUAAGGUGGACGAACAGUCCAUCAUCUUCCAUCGGGGAGAGAAGACCCCGUGGAGUUUUACUGCAGCUUGUGCUUGUAGUAUAGUACGAAUUACAUAGUGUAUCUGGUAGCCAUGCCUGAAUUUCUUUGGGAAUUCAGUGAAGCGACGAUGUAACACCAGAUUAUUCUUGCAGUACUUCUAAUCUGAUGCAAGUCAGAAACAGGUGCAGGUGGGCAGUUCGGCUGGGGCGGCACCCCUUUGAAAAGAUAUCAAAGGGGCCCAAAGUUUAGUUCAAACGGGUCAGAAAUCCGUUGAAGAGGGCAAAGCCAAAAACUAGACUGACAGGAUUUCCAAACGCACGGAAUUCUGAGACGAAAGUCUGGCUUAGCGAUCCUUCGUGUGCCCACUAUUGGGGCCCGGAGGUGACAGAAAAAUUACCCCAGGGAUAACAGGCUCGUCGCGGGCGAGAGCUCCUAUCGACCCCGCGGUUUGGUACCUCGAUGUCGGCUUUUCCUAUCCUGGUCCUGCAGCAGGGGCCAAGGGUGAGGCUGCUCGCCUAUUAAAAGGGAACAUGAGCUGGGUUUAGACCGUCGUGAGACAGGUCGGUCUCUGCCUGAUGGAAGCGCGGCUGUCUGAGGGGAAGUUGCUCUCAGUACGAGAGGAACAGAGCAACGUGGCCACUGGUCUACCGGUUGUCUGAUAAGGCAGGCCGGGCAGCUAAGCCGUUUGGAUUAAGUGCUGAAAGCAUCUAAGCACGAAACCCAUCCCGAGACAAGACAGCCUUUCGU